UUAGAGUUUGAUCCUGGCUCAGGACGAACUUUUGCGGCGUGCUUAACACAUGCAAGUUGUACGGUAUGUCAUGGAAGCUUGCUGAAGUGACAUAUAGUAGCGAACGGGUGAGUAAUGCAUGAGAAUUUAUCCUUAGGAGGGGGACAACAGCUGGAAACGGCUGCUAAUACCCCGUAUGCCGGAAGGUGAAAGGUGCGAGAGUGCCGCCUGGGGUUGAGCUCAUGUCCUAUCAGCUUGUUGGUGAGGUAAAGGCCCACCAAGGCGACGAUCAGUAGCCGGCCUGAGAGGGUGAACGGCCACACUGGAACUGAGACACGGUCCAGACUCCUACGGGAGGCAGCAGUGGGGAAUAUUGCACAAUGGAGGGAACUCUGAUGCGGCGACGCCGCGUGAGUGAAGAAGGUCUUCGGAUCGUAAAACUCUGUCCUUGGUGAAGAAAAGGACGGUAGCCAAGGAGGAAGCCCCGGCUAACUACGUGCCAGCAGCCGCGGUAAUACGUAGGGGGCGAGCGUUGUCCGGAUUUACUGGGCGUAAAGGGUGAGUAGGCGGUAAUAUACGUCAGGUGUAAAAGAUCAUGGCUUAACCAUGGUUAGCACUUGAAACUGUAUGACUUGAGUGCAGGAGAGGUAAGCGGAAUUCCUAGUGUAGCGGUGAAAUGCGUAGAUAUUAGGAGGAACACCAGUGGCGAAGGCGGCUUACUGGACUGUAACUGACGCUGAGUCACGAAAGCGUGGGUAGCAAACAGGAUUAGAUACCCUGGUAGUCCACGCUGUAAACGAUGAGUGCUAGGUGUUGGGUAGCGAUAUUCAGUGCCGUAGUAAACACAAUAAGCACUCCGCCUGGGGAGUACGUACGCAAGUAUAAAACUCAAAGGAAUUGACGGGGACCCGCACAAGCAGCGGAGCAUGUGGUUUAAUUCGAAGCAACGCGAAGAACCUUACCAAGGCUUGACAUCCCCUUGACAGGUGCAGAGAUGUGUCCUCUCCUUCGGGAGCAAGGGAGACAGGUGGUGCAUGGUUGUCGUCAGCUCGUGUCGUGAGAUGUUGGGUUAAGUCCCGCAACGAGCGCAACCCUUAUCCUUAGUUGCCAUCAAGUUAAGUUGGGCACUCUAAGGAGACUGCCGGUGAUAAACCGGAGGAAGGUGGGGAUGACGUCAAAUCAUCAUGCCCCUUAUGUCUUGGGCUACACACGUGCUACAAUGGUCGGUACAACGGGGAGCGAAGGAGCGAUCCCAAGCAAAUCCCAAUAAACCGAUCCCAGUUCGGAUUGCAGGCUGCAACUCGCCUGCAUGAAGUCGGAGUUGCUAGUAAUCGCGAAUCAGAACGUCGCGGUGAAUGCGUUCCCGGGUCUUGCACACACCGCCCGUCA
Molecule: ribosomal RNA, 1368 nt
Filed under: uncultured bacterium
Lineage: Bacteria
Description: bacterial SSU rRNA
Rfam family: Bacterial small subunit ribosomal RNA
Source: RNAcentral